AUGAGCCACGGUGCCUGGUCCAUUUUACAUUCUCAUCAGAAAUGUAUGAGGGAUCUACGCUGCGCUGAGUUCAUCCCCAUGGACAUCCUCACCGGUGGUCUGAGCCUCUGCAGUUCUGCCGUGUGGACAAGCAAUGACUGGCCAAUGAAAAGGCUCCCAUUCCCAGGAGUAUGGCCUAUUAGGUACUCAUCUCAGCACUUUGGGAAACCAAGGCAGGAGGAUCACCUGAGCCCAACAGUUCGAGACCAGCCUGGACAUUAUGCAUUAAGCAUAACAUUUUUACUGGACUCAUUGGAAACAAGAAAAAUCCUAAAAGAGAAAAGAAAAAAACAAAUGCAAACAAGCAAAAGCCUUGAGCUGAAACCAGAACAGUAUAUGACGGGAACUUACUAGUCAAGGCUGCCCUGAAGAAAAUGCCAAGAGCCCUUCAAUCAAUCUGUGAGACUCAGCCCAGGUGGGGACCUGAACCCGAGACUCUUGCAUCAAGGUGGGGACUCUAGAAGGGAGCAAAGGUGGUUCCAGGUCCUUAGUCCCAUAGUUUUCCCUAGAAACAAAAGCCGGACACUCUCUGGAGAGUGUCCCUAUUCACCUAAACUCAUGCUCUCAAAGAGAACCAAACAAACUCCAUCAGGUGAGGGCCAGCAGAAACCCUACACAACAGAUGUAGAUGCCUGAGAGAGGAAUUGUCAGCUACAUAAUAAGCACUCUUAUAUCUGAAAUGUCUACAGAAAUAAGAUGUGGAAUCACAGAAGUAAGCAACAAAGAAGAGGCUAUCUGACAGAACAAAAUAGAAUUACAGAAGAUUAGAAUGUCUAGCAAAGAAAAAAUAGGAUUGCUAAAGUAAGUAAACUUAGUGGACCGAAUAUUAGGUAGGUAUGAUGGCAUGUACCCGUAGUCCCAGCUACUGGGGAGGUUGAGGUGGGAGGAUUGCUUGAGCCCAGGGGGUCGAGGCUACAGUGAGCCAUGAUUGUGCUACUGUACUCAAGCCUGGGUGACAGAGCAAGAUCCUGUCUCAAAAAACAAACAAACAAAAAAAUAACUUAGUGGACAUGGAAAAAGUGGACACCAUGUGUGUCUUGAUGUGAUGCAGUGUAAACUACACAGCCCAGUGUAUAAAGUGGGGUUGCCCAAUAAGAACCCACAUCUAAUUGAGCCUUCACAGCUGAGUUCUGGUUUACAGCAACACAGGAGAGAGAAAAAUGGGUUAAAGACACCAUGAAGAAGGUGAGAGACAAAACCAGAAAUUGGGACAUUCCACAGAACAACUGAUCCAGUUUCUUCAACAUGUCACUGCCACGAGGAAAAAAAAAAGGUAGGGAUCGCUCUAGAUUAAGAGAAAUUUAAGAGACAUAAUUACUAAAUGCAAUAUGUGGCUCCUGCAGACCAACUAUAAAAAGAUAUCUUUGAGGGGACCGGGCGCGGUGGCUCACGCCUGUAAUCCCAGCACUUUGGAGAGGCCAAGGUGGGCGAAUCACGAGGUCAGGAGAGCGAGACCAUCCUGGCCAACACGGUGAAACCCCGUCUCUACUAAAAAUACAAAAAAACUAGCCGGGCGAGGUGGCAGGCGCCUGUAGUCCCAGCUACUGGGGGGCUGAGGCAGGAGAAUGGCAUGAACCCACGAGGCGGAGUUUGCAGUGAGCCGAGAUUGUGCCACUGCACUCUAGCCUGGGCGACAGAGGGAGACUUCAUCUCAAAAAAAAAAAAAAAUUGAGACAAUUUAGGAAAUUUAAAUAUGGCCUAGCAUUAUACUAUAAAGAGUACCAGGGAAUUCCGAUCAUUUGAUAUUGUAAGAAUACCAAACAAUUUAACAGAAUUGUUCAUUGUUAAUUCAGCAACAGCAAAUACAACACAGAGGAAAAGAUGAAGCAAGUUUGACAACAUUUUGAUGAUUGUUGAGUCUCGGCAAUAGGUAUAUGGGAAUUCACUCAACUGUUCUUCCCACGUUUAGAGCAUGCUUGAUGUCUUCUAUAAUAAAUUAUUUUUAAAUCUCUAGAGAAAGAUAUUAUACUCUAUCUUGUUAACAUUUACAAAAUCUCCCAAGCC
RNAcentral lists this long non-coding RNA (2043 nucleotides) under Papio anubis (olive baboon). RNAcentral describes it as "lncRNA (ENSPANG00000044942.1)". The record is from RNAcentral. Lineage: Eukaryota; Metazoa; Chordata; Mammalia; Primates; Cercopithecidae.